UUUCAGAUAGCUCAGUCUGUAGAGCACGAGACUCUUUCAGGGUCGUGGGUUUGAGUCCCACAUUGGGCAAAA
Podarcis lilfordi (Lilford's wall lizard) is the source of this 72-nucleotide non-coding RNA. The record is from the annotation of a GenBank genome assembly. Lineage: Eukaryota; Metazoa; Chordata; Lepidosauria; Squamata; Lacertidae.